RNAcentral lists this long non-coding RNA (2149 nucleotides) under Marmota monax (woodchuck). The record is from RNAcentral. Lineage: Eukaryota; Metazoa; Chordata; Mammalia; Rodentia; Sciuridae.
UCUUGGCAGAACCUGGGCAUUCUCUGCGCACCACUGCCCCCUUGUGGCUAAGGUAGGAAUUCUCCAUGACCAGCCUCCAGUGUCAGGUCUAAGCAGAGGAAAUUCCAGAACUACAGGGGAAAAGGAGGGCGAGUCCGCCUAAGAGAACUGAAAGACCACGAAGUCCUGAGUCCAGUGGGCACUCAUAUAUCCAGCUCUGAAUUUGUAUGUAAACAUGAAAAAAUCAAGCCUCAAAGAGUACUGUCAGGGAGUGAAGAGAACGCUAGAUCUGGUGAUAAGACAGCCCUGUCUGCAGCCUGGCUUGUUGCUUCCUGGUUGAAAGAUUCUGGGCAGUUGGUUACUGUUUCCAUCUCUAUAGUCUGCAGCCUGGAGUCUGGCUGACUUCUUUUCUGGGAAGGCCAGCUGAGUUAUUCAGAUGGGUCCUCCCACUGAAAGCAGUUAAACGUGCUGAGAUACUGGCAUAGCCAGGGGUUAGGAGUUACCAGACCAGAACUGAAAACAGCAACCUAGAUAAGCCAAGCAGGAAAUUCACUUUUACUCUGAGGACAUUUCUGAAUCUGGCUAAUAGGAACUAGUGUUUGGAUGGGUCCCUUGGGCAAAGGGCACAGGUACAAAUCCAGAGCCCAGAGAGGCAGAUCAAAUAGAAGACCCUCCCCAAUGAGCUGGGAUUCCAAAGAGCCACACUCUCAGAAGUAAACCAGCCCCCAGAAUGACCUAGCUUAUAUCUCCUGAGUGCUCUGUGAUUUCAAGCCUUGAACCUGGAUCAAGAUGUUCCCAGACUGUUUGUGCCUCAGGCUCCUGGAAGAAGAAAUGGAAAUCCUCCUUAAAGGUGAGUUCCUUCAGUGUGGGCUCCACAUUAGGCACACAGUGGCAAGCACUCGGUGAAGACAGCGAAGCACACAGAGAAGGGGAACAGACUCCAUGGCAAGAACCAGAAGAAGCAAGAGACAAUAAAACCCAUAAAGGACUGAAACAUGAAUUAUUUCACAUAGACGAUAAAACGGCGAUUCUUCUUCUUUUUUUCUUUUUUUUAAAUAUUUUUAGUUGUAGAUGGGAACACAAUACUUUAUUUAUUUAUUUUUAUGUGGUGCUGAGGAUCAAACCCAGUGCCUCACACAUGCAAGGCAAGCGCUGUACAACUGAGCUACAAUCCCAGCCCAAACGGUGAUAAAUAUAAUCUUAAAUAAGCAAAAGACUAGCUUGAAAAUAUUUCAUGAAACAGGGAAAUGAUAAAAAGUGUAAAACAUGGGAAACUAUAAAAAGUAACAGUAGGGCUGAGGAUAUACCUCAAUUGGUAGAGUGCUUGCCUUGUAUGCACAAGGCCCUGGGUUCAAUCCCCAGCAACACACACACACACAGUAACAGUAGAAAAGAGAUUUUAACUUCCAAAAAUGAACAAUAUAAUAAUUAGAAAAUCAAAAGGAAGUUAAAAGCAGAUUGGAUAUAGCUGAAAAGAGAAUUGGUGAACUGGAAGAAAAGCCAGAAGAAAUGAUCCAGAAAGAGCAUGAGAGACAGGAGGAAUAAAAAAAAAUAAUACAGCAGAAAGCAUAAAAGACCUGGAGAAUAAAUGAGAAUCGUCUAACAUUUAUUUAACUAGAACUUUAGAAAGAGAGAACAAAUGGGAAAGACAUGAUAUUUGAAGGAUUAGUAACUGAAAAUUUCCCAGAACUGAUACAUCAUCAAUCUACAGAUUCAAAAACCCAAGCAAAUUCCAAGCCAGACACACACACACACACACACACAUUUGUAUUUAUAAGUAUAUUUAAUUUACAUUCAGAAAGACCUACAUACUGUAUGGUUCCAACUAUGUGACAUUCUGGAAAAGGCAAAACCAUGAAAAGGAUGAAAAGAUCAGCGGCCAUCAGGGGCUGGGGGUGGGAGGACGGAUAGGUGAGUACACGGAGUGCUUAGGAUAGUGAAAGCAUUUAGUUUGAUACUGUAAUGGUAUAUACAUGUUUUACAUUUGUGAAAAGCCAUAGAAUGUACAAAAUGAAGAGUGGUUCUUUGAAAAGAUUAAUAAAGUAGCCGGGUGUGGUGGCACCACCUGUAAUCUCAGCCACCUGGAAGGCUGUGGCAAGAGGAUCCCAAGUUCAAAGCCAGUCGCAGCAACUUAUCGAGGACCUUAGCACCUUAGUGAGGCCCUGUCUCA